Molecule: long non-coding RNA, 1990 nt
Organism: Ananas comosus (pineapple)
Lineage: Eukaryota; Viridiplantae; Streptophyta; Magnoliopsida; Poales; Bromeliaceae
Exons: 3
Source: RefSeq, a predicted model, not a curated record
UUCCUCCCAGCUCUCGACAGUGACCAUAAUGGGGAAUAACUCGUCCCCCAAAAUCAAUGACACAUUCUGCGGGAUAUCCGUCAGCUCAUGAACCGCGAUCUGACACCGGUAUGCCCUUAGGUCCAUCAUUGAUUUGGAAUUUUCAUCUGCCCGGAGGAACCGCCCGAAGCCUCCGACGAUUGCCGCCACUCUAGGAAUCGACCAACUUUCGAAAGGGAGGUUAAACAAUUUUAUCCACACCUUGAAAGGGAAUCUGUGGGGGGUAGUGAGUCGAUACUGUCCCCACUCGAAACAGUUAAUCCAAAAGCCCUCCAGAGUAGUAACCCUCCUCCUUAUAAGUCUCCGCUGAGACCCACUCCGGCAGGAACACCGCGAAGUCGUGCUCCCUAUGUCGCGCCACCAUAAAGUCAGUUGGGUAACCACCGAAUCGAUUCGCCAAGGCGUUGGCAAUCGUCUGCUGCGGCGAGUGACCAAGGUUCGCCGGCUAGACGAUAUCAACAAGAAUAGCAUUUUGACGUAGCUCUCUGCGAGUGUAGUAAUCCUCUGUGUAAGGGACAACCACACGUUGAGACGGAACGCGCCCUCGUGCGCGGUGUGCUCUCAGCAUGUUGUCGCUGCGAUCAAGAGGCUUAGCCUUGCAUUGAGAAGCCCUGUGGCCAGUACCGAGACAAUGGAAGCACCUGAGCGGGUCUCGGCAGUUGAUAACUUUAUGGUCGGAAGUCAAGCAUCUGAAGCACUUGCCGGAGAAAAUACGACACUUUCCGUUCACACCACUCUUAAGAUCUUCCUUGGAGAAGCUAGGUUUAGAAUUUGUUUGCCUCUGCGGCUUGACUGGGGUUAGGAGAGCCUCUUUAUAGGACUUCCUCCCCCCCUCCAACAGGCUGGUGUAAAUGCAACUUUCCUGAAGACAAUAGCUCCUUUCUCGCCUUCACAGCUCUGAAUCUACCAGAACCCAUACCAGUUUGAUGAACGUCAUUAAUUUCUCUACUCUUCUCCUCAACAAGCUGGAUAGGGAAAGCAAGUCUUGUGGAGUUAUGCUUAGCAAUAACUCCACCAACUCCAACUCUCCUAUCCUCCCUACAGUUCAAAGCCUGGAUCCUAAGCAGGGAGUCCAAAAGCCUUUGGUAACGUCUCUCCACUUCGGGCUCCAACACCUUUUCUAUACCCCUAUCAUUAUUACAGCGAUCAUUCUUGGGGGGGAACCAACAUCUCCUCGCGCCCUGUCGAGGCCUUCCCUCGCUGCAACUCUACUCUCUGCGUGAAAGAUCCUUUAGGUAGCCUCCUCCAGCAGCUAGUCUGAUCGUUACCAGCAAUGGGGAAGCCAAGAGGUGAUGCUCUGCCCCUUCUUCCGCUCACUCCCCUCUUUGGCCAUCUAGUUAGUUUUGUUUUUGUAGAACGCAGCGGAACUAUUCGUUCGUACCUUUUUGCGGAAGCGAUUCGCGCUACAACGCGACGAGCCCGGAUCGUAGAGGUUGAUUCAUGUGUCCUUGGAUCAUCCUUGAAGGUCUUCUAACGCUCCGAACUCGCGGUGGAUCGAACCACAAACGAGCACGAUCGCAAAUCCACCGUUCAAAUUCCUUUAGUAGUUAGUGCAAGUUUUUAAUCCCUUCCUAGUAACAAAAGGUAGUUGGUGCGAGUUUAUAUGGAACUUGUGAGAGUAACCUGGUAUGUAUGUUAAAUAACCAUGCAGGCUUCUAUAAUGUCCAAGCAUUUUGCCAAGUCUGACAAGCCAAGGAGAUUAAGUGGCCACUUAGAUGCCUAGAGGGAAAGUAUCCAUUCAGCAUUAACUGAGGUUCAAGUAUAUAGUCGUGGGGCCGAUCAGAAUUCGUUUAUGCACUUUUUGAUUUUUGUUAUCAAACAAUUUUUGAUUUUUUGUAUUUUUUAAAGUUAGAGAGUUUAAUUUGUUAUAAUUACUACAACAUAUGAGUGGAUAUUGUUGUGUGACGUAUGGAUAUUUGAUUUUAGUUUUAUCAUUUUAACGAAAAUUUAA